AGGAAUGGCCCUGUGGACCUCUGUGAUGGGACAUCUGGUGGAAUCUCACAGGCAGUUCUGUGGCAAAGAUGGAUGAAAGCUAAGGUUAGUAUGAAAAUGGCCCUAGUGAGAGAAGUUCGAUGAAAAAGAUAGUGCCACAAUGAUGACAUCAUUUGCUACUCUUGACAGUUGGGGUGACGAUAGCUAUAGACCACCAUUAAUCAUAACUGAGGCACAAAGAAAGAUGAUUGGGGGGCACUUACAGAGUAAGCAGUAUUUACAUAAAGACUUUCUUCCCCAGGACUCAUGAGGAAGCUGGAUAACUGAACAAAGCCAUGUAAGCAGGCUUUUUGGUAUGCAUGUGGUCCCAUUACAAGGAAUACCCAAUAAAUAGCAAAUGCACACUGCCAUUCACAAGCAAUUGCAGAGAAUGGGUGGGGGAUGUGAAACUAAAGAGCUUUGUAGCUGCCUGAGGAGGUGGGUUCUCUAUAUCCGUGGGAGCUAGUGAUCCCCCACAGGUCUUAGCUGGUGCCAUGAUUGUGAUCUUAGGCCAGAUUUGAUGUCCCCCACAUGGCCGAGUCCGCCAUGGAUGCAACAGGGCAGCUUUAUUUGCUGUUGCAGGUACAAGAAUGGGAAGCCAGAAAAUGGGAUGGUAAGUGAAUCUAAAGGAUUGUAGUAAUAGAGGCCAAAUAUGGCUUGGCAUUACACUUUUUGAAAAGUGCUUGGGCCACAUGCAGUGUCCUAGCCAUAUCUUUGUGAACACAGCCUACAUGAUGACAAACAAAUGCUGACUAAUGUGAAGAUCUUAAUUAGCUCUAUCUGAUGUUGGGCUCCACCUGGCUUUUGUGGGGAGAGUUGAAUUUUUUGACUGCACUAACAGUUGUAAUUCUUUCAGGUGGAGUUUGAAUCAGGUGGACAGUUCUAAAAGUACAAAUGAUUUCGUAUAAAGGUACCACAUGUGGGUCCCUUUAACUGAAGGCAUGGCAAGCUCCACACAAGGUCCUUCAUUUCUGAAUUUCAAGGGCUCCUCUGACAAGUGGACAGUGCAGUGGGUGCACCUUUUCCAGAGGUGACUGGAUGGAUGCUUGAACAGAAGAUUUGCCAAAUAGACAUUGUGCUGUCAAGAAUUUUACCAUUAAAAGUGCAUUAUUGU
RNAcentral lists this long non-coding RNA (1132 nucleotides) under Rattus norvegicus (Norway rat). RNAcentral's name for it is "long non-coding RNA NONRATT008375". The stretch from base 745 to 805 matches the Rfam family "Small nucleolar RNA SNORD44". The record is from RNAcentral. Lineage: Eukaryota; Metazoa; Chordata; Mammalia; Rodentia; Muridae.